UACGAAGGGGGCGAGCGUUGUCCGGAUUUAUUGGGCGUAAAGAGCGUGUAGGCGGUUUGGUAGGUCCGUUGUGAAAACUCGAGGCUCAACCUCGAGACGCCGAUGGAAACCAUCAGACUAGAGUCCGGAAGAGGAGAGUGGAAUUCCUGGUGUAGCGGUGAAAUGCGCAGAUAUCAGGAAGAACACCCGUGGCUAAGGCGGCUCUCUAGUACGGUACUGACGCUGAGACGCGAAAGCGUGGGGAGCGAACAGG
This 253-nucleotide ribosomal RNA is filed under the name uncultured bacterium. Its description in RNAcentral is "partial 16S ribosomal RNA". It matches the Rfam family "Bacterial small subunit ribosomal RNA", at positions 524 to 776 of the family's 1533-position model. The record is from RNAcentral.